AUGAGAACUUGCCCUCACGGGUAGAUCUCCCACCCUGUGUUAUUAUACCUUUGUUGCUUUGGCGGGCCGCCCUCGGCUACCGGCCCCGGCUGGUACGCGCCCGCCAGAGGACCCCAAACUCUGAAUGUUAGUGUCGUCUGAGUACUAUACAAUAGUUA
This 158-nucleotide unclassified non-coding RNA is filed under the name uncultured Helotiales. RNAcentral describes it as "sequence contains ITS1". Lineage: Eukaryota; Fungi; Ascomycota; Leotiomycetes; Helotiales. The record is from RNAcentral.